This 3688-nucleotide ribosomal RNA is filed under the name Microcaldota archaeon. RNAcentral's name for it is "Candidatus Micrarchaeota archaeon (hot springs metagenome) 23S ribosomal RNA". It matches the Rfam family "Archaeal large subunit ribosomal RNA". Lineage: Archaea; Nanobdellati; Microcaldota. The record is from RNAcentral.
AGUCAUGCCGCUCAGGGGAUGGCUUGGCUCAGGUAGCGAGGAAGGCCGUGGCAAGCUGCGAUAAGCCCAGGGUAGGCGCAGGCAGCCCUUGAACCUGGGAUUGCCGAAUUAUUCACCUCCAAAAGAGGUGAAGGAGCACGCGGGGAAUUGAAACAUCUUAGUACCCGCAGGAAAAGAAACCAAAUGGGAUGUGGUUAGUAAGGGCGACUGAAAGCCACACAGAGGCAAUUCGAAUCCUCCUUGGCAACUUGGAGGAGAUGUGAUGCAUUCCAUUCUCCCUCUGUCUAGCUGAAGUGCGCUGAAAAGCGCUGCCAAAGAGAGUGAAAGCCUCGUAAGCGAAAAACAGAGGGUGAGGGGAUGCGCAGAGUAGCGUCCAUUGAGUAGUGGGCGUGAACAUGGGAGCAUCAACUUCCAACUCUAAAUAUAACCUGAGACCGAUAGCGCACAAGUAGCGCGAGCGAAAGCUGAAAAGCACCCCGAAAGGGGAGUUAAAAGAGCCUGAAACUGAGUGGCUACAGAAGGUGCGGCCCGAAAGGAAUGCGGUCUCCUGGAAGCGAUAUGUAGAAAUAUAUAAAGCGACGGGAGAUUGAGCAGGGUUGCAUCGUUCUUCUUGAAGCAAGAGCCAAGGAGUUGAUGGAAGUGGUGAGCCGAAAGGCGGAGCGAAAGCGAGGCUGCGCAACCCGAAAGGGCGAGGCAGGUGGUACGAAAGUGCCAUAAAUCACUUUCAUCAGACCCGAAGCCAAUGUGAUCUACACGCGGGCAGGGCGAAGCCAAUCUUCCGAUUGGUCGAGGCCCGCAACCGGUGCUGGUAUAUCCGCUCGGGUGACCUGCGUGUAGGGGUGAUAGUCCUAUCGAACUUGGCGAUAAGUUUAUAAGGGCAGCAAAUGGGAUCUUUGUAUGCUGCCCUUUAAACUCGCUAAAGCGGGUUCCCCCCGAAGUAUCCCUCAGGAUAGCCCCAUUGGAGGUGGAUUGUGAGGUAGAGCACUGAUCAGGCAGAACGGAGCCGAAAGGCUCCACUGUCUUUUCAAACUCCGAAUUCACAAUCACCGUAGAAGAUGGGAGUCGGGCGUGCUGGGUAAGCUAGCAUGCCGGGACGGGAACGACCGAGACCGAGGUUAAGGCCCCUAAAUCCUGGCUAAGUGCUAAUCACAAAGGAGUCUCCACUCUAAAACAGCUGGAAGGUAGGCUCAGAAGCAGCCAUCCUUUAAACAACGCGUAACAGCGGACCAGUCGAGAGUGCAGGCUCUGAAGAUUACCGGGGCUAAGCCAGGUGCCGAUACCCCGGAGGAUGCCGCAAGCAUCAUCUGGUAGGGGGGUGUUCUGGCAGGGCAGAAGUUGGGGCGUGAGUUCCAAUGGACCUGUCAGAAACAAAUAUCUUGGUGUUAGUAACAGCAAAUCCAGGUGAGAAUCCUGGACGCCGGAUAGCACACGGUUUUCUUAACAAUGUUCGUCAGUUAAGAGUAAGCCGAUCCUAAGCUCCCAGCUAAUUACUCGGGAGCGAAAGGGAAACUGGUUAAAAUUCCAGUGCCUCGUGGGUAGACGUGGCGACACAAGGCCAGCUUCUGACGCUUGGGGAUAGGUGGAGUGAAUGAGAAUUCAUCUAACCUCUGCAAGACUGCAGAGACUCAUUAUGAGGAGAAGCAGUCUAACUCUGGGAAGGCCAUCGCAAGGUGGUUCCGCUGAUUCCUUGAGCCCGUGAAAAGGAAGCUGGCAGCGAUUCCACGAGAUCGUACCUAGAACUCGUACAGGUGCUGCUGGCAGAGAAAGCCAAGGCGUGUCAGGAGAACUCAGGUAAGGGAACUCGGCAAUCCAGUGGCGUAACUUCGGGAGAAGCCAUGCCUGCAGUUGUGGCGCAAGCUGCAACCGCAGGUCGCAGUGACAAGGGGACGUCGACUGUUUACCAAAAACACAGCUCCCUGCAAAGCCGAAAGGCUUAGUAUAGGGGGCGAUGCCUGCUCACUACCGGUACGUCAAACUCCAGUUCAAUGGAGCAAAGCGCCGGCAAAGAGCGGGGGUAAUCUGAUGAGUCCUUUGAAUUCAUCAGACCUCAAACUCUGACCCUCUUAAGGUAGCGUAAUACCUCGCCGCUUAAUUGGUGGCUUGCAUGAAGGGCAUAACGAGCGUCCCGCUGUCCCUACCUGGGACCUGGUGAACUCACUACUCGGUGAAGAUGCCGAGGACUUCUAGGGGGAAACGAAGACCCCGUGGAGCUUUACUAUAGUCUGUCGUUGGGAUACGGUGGUUGUUGCACAGCGUAAGCGGGAGCGUCGAAACACUCCUUGCGGGGGGUGUGAAUGCGAAAGUGAAACACCGCUCUACAGCUGCUGUGUUCCUAACCUGCAAGGGGACAUCGGCAGAUGGAUAGUUUGGCUGGGGCGGUACGCCCUCGAUAAGGAAACAAGGGCGCCCAAUGCUAUCCUUAAGCGGGUCAGAAAUCCGCUGGUAAGGGUCAAAGACAAAUGGAUGGCUGACUGAAUCCUUAAAAGCGUGGGAUUCAGGCUCGAAAGAGGGGCUUAACGAACCUUGGUAUCCCUUUUGCUGAGGGUCCAAGCUGUCAGACAAGCUACCCCGGGGGUAACAGGCUCGUCGCGGGCGAGAGUACACAUCGACCUCGCGGUUUGGUACAUCGCUGUCGGCCUAGGUCAUCCUGGUGGUGCAGGAGCCACCAAGGGUUGGGUUGUUCAUCCAUUAAAGACCUACACGAGCUGGGUUCAGAACCCUGGAGGGUUAACCUUUGAUAUUUGCCUAUGUCUCUAGCAGGUUCUUAUGCCUGCUAAACUUGAGAGGAUGUUAACCCUACUGGGUGAACAAAACGUCGCGACCCUAGAUGGCAAAUUUUAUAUUACAGAAACGAAAAUCUACUAUGGACAAAUUAGCGUACUUAGCAGGUGCUAUGAGAGACGGUUCGUUCAUUAAAAAUAACAAUGAAAGAAUCUACCGACUCGUCAUAUACCAACGAAAUGAGAAGUGGAUAAGAAAAGUUUCGGAGUUUAUUUACGAAUUAUUCGGCGCGAAGCCAACAAUUUCUCAAGAUUCAAGAGGACUAUGGAGAGCAACACUAAAUUCAAAACAAAUCUACAACACGGUAGUGCGACUGUUAGAGUUCGAUGGAGAACAAGCAAGUUGGAAUACACCCAAUUUUGUUUUAAGAGGAAGUUCUGCAACAAAGAGAGCUUACAUCUCAGGUUUUUUUGAUGCGGAGGGAAGCAUAAAUAGUUUAGACAAGUAUGGUGCGAAUUACUUCAAACCAAAGGACAUACGGAUAUACUUCGCACAAGCAAAUAAAAGAGUUCUAGAAGAACUUAAAUCAAUGAUAGAAAGCUUUGGAAUUAAAUGUGGCAAUGUGGUAGGCCCAUAUGUCAAAAAGGGCACCUCAACUAAAAUGUAUGGAUUAAUAAUCCAUGGUCGUGAACAAUGUUCAAAUUUUUACAAGACGUUUUAUGUUUAUCAUCCCGAUAAAAAAGAAGGUUCAUACUUUUGCCAUCUGGGGCGACAAAGACAGUUCGGUAGUAUCUCCUAGAAGUGUUGACUGCCUGAGAGCAGGAUUCCCUGAGUACGAGAGGAACAGGGAAUCGGCGCCUCUAGUUUACCGGUUGUGAAAAGCACUGCCGGGCAGCCACGCGCCAGUGGAUAAGACCUGAAAGCAUCUAAGGUCGAAGCCAUUCUCAAAACGAGGCAGUCCAAGGCC